UAUGUGCUGAAUGGUUCACGGGUGGCCAU
Molecule: non-coding RNA, 29 nt
Filed under: Homo sapiens (human)
Lineage: Eukaryota; Metazoa; Chordata; Mammalia; Primates; Hominidae
Source: RNAcentral